This 292-nucleotide ribosomal RNA is filed under the name Schmidingerella taraikaensis. RNAcentral describes it as "partial Bacterial small subunit ribosomal RNA". It matches the Rfam family "Bacterial small subunit ribosomal RNA", at positions 776 to 1067 of the family's 1533-position model. The record is from RNAcentral. Lineage: Eukaryota; Ciliophora; Spirotrichea; Tintinnida; Rhabdonellidae.
GAUUAGAUACCCUGGUAGUCCACACCGUAAACGCUGUCUACUAGCUGUUUGUGGAUAUUAUCCGUGAGUAGCGAAGCUAACGCGCUAAGUAGACCGCCUGGGGAGUACGGCCGCAAGGUUAAAACUCAAAGGAAUUGACGGGGGCUCACACAAGCGGUGGAGCAUGUGGUUUAAUUCGACGCAACGCGAAGAACCUUACCUGGUCUUGACAUCCUGCGAACUUUCUAGAGAUAGAUUGGUGCCUUCGGGAACCGAGAUACAGGUGCUGCAUGGCUGUCGUCAGCUCGUGCCG